This 335-nucleotide unclassified non-coding RNA is filed under the name soil metagenome. Its description in RNAcentral is "partial contains 5.8S ribosomal RNA, internal transcribed spacer 2, and large subunit ribosomal RNA". The stretch from base 1 to 120 matches the Rfam family "5.8S ribosomal RNA", at positions 35 to 154 of the family's 154-position model. The record is from RNAcentral.
GAUGAAGAACGUAGCGAAAUGCGAUAAGUAAUGUGAAUUGCAGAAUUCAGUGAAUCAUCGAAUCUUUGAACGCACAUUGCGCCCGCCAGUAUUCUGGCGGGCAUGCCUGUUCGAGCGUCGUUUCAACCAUCAAGCCCCCGGCUUGUGUUGGGGACCUGCGGCUGCCGCAGGCCCUGAAAACCAGUGGCGGGCUCGCUAGUCACUCCGAGCGUAGUAAUACAUCUCGCUCAGGGCGUGCUGCGGGUUCCGGCCGUUAAAAAGCCUUAUUUACCCAAGGUUGACCUCGGAUCAGGUAGGAAGACCCGCUGAACUUAAGCAUAUCAAUAAGCGGAGGA